GAUAAUACUGAUGGGCAUGUUAUUUACUUCUGUGAUGAAGCUGCUAGAAUUGCUAGACCGGGCACUAAAAAUAAAAAUAGACCUGUGGUAGGCAUGCCUGUUAUUUCUGUUAAAAUAGGAGAUCAUUGUUAUCAUGGCUUGUGUGAUAUGGGUGCUAGUGCAAGUGCAAUACCUCAUUCCUUAUACAAAGAAAUUAUGCAUGAUAUUGCACCUGCCGAGACAGAAGAAAUUGAUGUUACAAUUAAGCUUGCCAAUAGAGAUACUAUUUCACCAGUUGGGAUUGUUAGAGAUGUUGAACUUGUGUGGGAAAGUUAA
Molecule: ribosomal RNA, 315 nt
Filed under: Triticum aestivum (bread wheat)
Lineage: Eukaryota; Viridiplantae; Streptophyta; Magnoliopsida; Poales; Poaceae
Description: partial small subunit ribosomal RNA
Source: RNAcentral